UACGUAGGGGGCAAGCGUUGUCCGGAUUUAUUGGGCGUAAAGCGCGUGUAGGCGGUCCGGUAAGUCCGCUGUGAAAGUCGAGGGCUCAACCCUCGAAUGCCGGUGGAUACUGUCGGGCUUGAGUACGGGAGAGGCGAGUGGAAUUCCUGGUGUAGCGGUGAAAUGCGCAGAUAUCUGGAGGAAUACCGGUGGCGAAGGCGGCAUCCUGGACCGACAUUGACGCUGAGGAGCGAAAGCUAGGGGAGCAAACGGG
RNAcentral lists this ribosomal RNA (253 nucleotides) under uncultured bacterium. RNAcentral's name for it is "partial 16S ribosomal RNA". It matches the Rfam family "Bacterial small subunit ribosomal RNA", at positions 524 to 776 of the family's 1533-position model. The record is from RNAcentral.